AGUGAAGCGGGAAAAGCUCAAAUUUAAAAUCUGGCGGCCUUCGGUCGUCCGAGUUGUAGUCUGGAGAAGCGUCUUCCGCGCUGGACCGUGUACAAGUCUCUUGGAACAGAGCGUCGUAGAGGGUGAGAAUCCCGUCUUUGACACGGACUACCAGUGCUUUGUGAUGCGCUCUCAAAGAGUCGAGUUGUUUGGGAAUGCAGCUCAAAAUGGGUGGUAAAUUCCAUCUAAAGCUAAAUAUUGGCGAGAGACCGAUAGCGAACAAGUACCGUGAGGGAAAGAUGAAAAGCACUUUGGAAAGAGAGUUAAACAGUACGUGAAAUUGCUGAAAGGGAAACGAUUGAAGUCAGUCGCGUCGUCCAGAACUCAACCUCGCUUUCGCUUGGUGCACUUUCUGGUUGACGGGCCAGCAUCAGUUUCGACCGUCGGACAAAGUCCUUUGGAAUGUGGCACCUUCGGGUGUGUUAUAGCCUUGGGUCGUAUACGAUGGUUGGGAUUGAGGACCGCAGCACGCCAUUUGGCCGGGGUUCGCCCACGUACGUGCUUAGGAUGCUGGCGUAAUGGCUUUAAACGACCCGUCUUGAAACACGGACCAAGGAGUCUAACAUAUGUGCGAGUGUUUGGGUGGAAAACCCGAGCGCGUAAUGAAAGUGAAAGUUGGGAUCUCUGUCGUGGAGAGCACCGACGCCCAUACCAGACCUUCUGUGACGGAUAUGCGGUUGAGCAUGUAUGUUGGGACCCGAAAGAUGGUGAACUAUGCCUGAAUAGGGUGAAGCCAGAGGAAACUCUGGUGGAGGCUCGUAGCGAUUCUGACGUGCAAAUCGAUCGUCAAAUUUGGGUAUAGGGGCGAAAGACUAAUCGAACCAUCUAGUA
Molecule: ribosomal RNA, 870 nt
Filed under: Phlebia acerina
Lineage: Eukaryota; Fungi; Basidiomycota; Agaricomycetes; Polyporales; Meruliaceae
Description: partial large subunit ribosomal RNA
Rfam family: Eukaryotic large subunit ribosomal RNA
Source: RNAcentral